CCGGACUACCAGGGUUUCUAAUCCUGUUCGCUACCCAUGCUUUCGCUCCUCAGCGUCAGUAACUGCCCAGUAACCUGCCUUCGCCAUCGGUGUUCCUCCUGAUAUCUGCGCAUUUCACCGCUACACCAGGAAUUCCAGUUACCCCUACAGCACUCAAGUUAUGCCCGUAUCGCCUGCACGCCCGGAGUUAAGCCCCAGAAUUUCACAGACGACGCGACAAACCACCUACGAGCCCUUUACGCCCAGUAAUUCCGGACAACGCUCGCACCCUACGUAUUACCGCGGCUGCUGGCACC
Molecule: unclassified non-coding RNA, 296 nt
Filed under: uncultured Corynebacteriaceae bacterium
Lineage: Bacteria; Bacillati; Actinomycetota; Actinomycetes; Mycobacteriales; Corynebacteriaceae
Description: contains 16S-23S intergenic spacer region
Source: RNAcentral